AGUCGCAGUGCACGCUCUGCGGGGAGCCGGAAGAUACAGACAGCCCAACUAAAUCCUUGAAAUGCAGCGUGGCGUGAAAAUGGAGCGGCAUUUUAGUUAACGAGGGUCUGGAUGCCAUUCACAGGAAUGCAGUUUCUACAGGGUUCUGCUUUGCAGAGACCUCUCCUGAUAAUAAUAAUAAAUUUACUCAGAACAA
This 196-nucleotide unclassified non-coding RNA is filed under the name Homo sapiens (human). Its description in RNAcentral is "novel transcript (ENSG00000282515.1)". Lineage: Eukaryota; Metazoa; Chordata; Mammalia; Primates; Hominidae. The record is from RNAcentral.